AUGCAUUUCAAGGAUUCUGCCAAUUUCAAUAAUAAGCAAGAAAAAAUAUAAGAAAAUAAAUUAUACCAAAAAGUGUCUGUUCAAUUCAAAAUAUAAGAAAAACAUGUAACCAACUUUUUAAUACUUAAGUUUCAUAUUGACCUAUAUAAGAUUAUAUGAUUAUACAUCUAUAAGAAAAAAUAAGUUGUCAAUUGUUGACUGAUAUGUGUUUACACUAAAUGUAAUUAAAAAGUUAUUUAUAUUGUUAUGUACUCAAUUUUAUGUACAAUAUACCUUAACUUGAUCACUUUAUCACUUCUACAAAGUUUAACUACCAACUAAAGACCUCGUGUACAACACACAUUGUAAAGUUUGGUUUACAUAUAAAUGGUUUUGUAUUGCUAGUCUUUGCAAACAAAUUGCAACCUCUAAUAUCAUAUUUCAAAUUCAAUUGAAAAAACACUCAAUUUACUUGAAAGAAUAUUUUAUUGUAUUACUAAAAUAAUACUAUAAACAUUAUUGAAUAACAAUAAUAGAAAUUUCCCUAUGGAACGAAUAAAAAAGAUUGCAUAACCAUUUUAACUAUUUGCAUUUGAAGCAAUUAUUAAUUGAGUGGUUAUAGUAAAUUUUUAAAAUCACAAUAACCUUUAACUGUAAGAGGAAUGUUCUGUUUUAUAUUAUGUUGAAUAAGAACUUAGUGUAUAUAUUAGUGUUUAACUUGUUGUAUGACACAUUAUCUUUUUAAACUCUACAUCAAAUUAUUCAGUCCGACAUGAGAAACAUCAAUCUAACAUUAAAAUAGAAUCCUUCUUCAUUGGAGUAUAUAAUCAUAAUCAGAAGUUGAACUCCAAACACCAAAUAAAAGUGUUACAGAGGAAAAACAGAAAAAAAGAAAUACCUAAUGCUGGAAGAUAACAUAUUCACAUUGCCACUUCCACUUAAUUUGCAAAGCUUUCAAUUUACAUGUAGUGUUUGAUUCCUAUGCGCAUUGAUAGAAGCACAUCUAUAUAGUGUCUGAUUCCUAUGCACAUCGGUAGAAGCAUAAUGUAAGCGAAGGUAAGUGAAGAUUAAAAAGAAAAUAAGAGUAUCUAGGUAUGAAACUUAAUUUAAGGUAAGCGAAUUAUACAUACAUAACUAUAGAUUGAAAUUAUGAUAAACAUACAUAACUAUAGAUUGAAAUUAUGAUAAACAUACAUAACUAUAGAUUGAAAUUAUGAUAAACAUACAUAACUAUAGAUUGAAAUUAUGAUAAAUAUUAUGGAGGCUUAACUUCUGACAUGUUAAUUGCAAUCCAUCCACAUUCUGUGCAGAAUGUCAAACUGCAUUCCAUCAAUGCUUUAUAUGAUGUAAAAUUGUCAGGAAAAACAAUCUCUAACGCGAACCUUAAAAAUUGAAUUAGUGUGCUUGUCAUACUAAUAGAAUAGAGACAUGCAUUGCAUUAUGUCACCUUAUUAAUAACUGCAACAUUAGGUUGAGAUGAUAAUCACAUGAAUUGCAUAAAUAAUGAUAAAAGAAUCUCAUUCAAAAUUGAAAUUAAAUUAGUUAAUAAUUAUGAACAUAUAUAGAGUUUAGAAGGAAAGUUGUGUUUAUAUGAUUGAAACAUUUCAUCAAACAGGUUUUGCUCAUAAAGAGAUGAGUUUAAAAAAUGGAGGAAACAAACCGGAACCAUAUCUAUAACAAAGAUGUAUUUUCAAGUCCAAGUAUUCCAUCAUCAAGUAGAGAUAAAAAUUCAAACAAAUCUGCAUACUCUUAAGAAUAGGAAUGAAAGUGGAAAGGGAAAAAUGAAUGAUUUAAAGGUAAUAUGAACAAUAAAAGUUGAUUUUUUACCUAUCUUUUUGCAUAAUCAAUUUUCAUCCAUGAUUAACUUCAUAUGGUGUCUUUGCCACAAUUGACAAUGCACGUAAUCCAGAUUACAAUUUGAAAGGAAAUGUAUUGGUGAUGAAAACUCCAAUUGAUGUCAGAUCUGAAUUGCAUUGUCAGGAUGGAAUUACAUACACCCAUUCUUAGAAAAUUAUUCCUUAUCAACAACAAUAGAGAGAGAUGAAGCGAAUCAAAGUGAAAUUAAAAUGAGAAAUGAGUGUGAAAUUGGAAUGAGAAAUGAGUGUGAAAU
This 2089-nucleotide long non-coding RNA is filed under the name Lupinus angustifolius (narrow-leaved blue lupine). RNAcentral describes it as "long non-coding RNA (LANG_LNC000438)". The record is from RNAcentral. Lineage: Eukaryota; Viridiplantae; Streptophyta; Magnoliopsida; Fabales; Fabaceae.